Molecule: long non-coding RNA, 725 nt
Organism: Alosa alosa (allis shad)
Lineage: Eukaryota; Metazoa; Chordata; Actinopteri; Clupeiformes; Clupeidae
Exons: 2
Source: RefSeq, a predicted model, not a curated record
AUUGCAAUGCCAAAUGUUCCAGUUGUGCAAUGUCAGACUCCAUUUUCUUUAUUGUAAGUCAGUGAAACAUCAAAAUAAGUUUAAAGCCAUGUUUAGGGGGAAAUAACUACAUUGAGUUGAUUUCAAUUCAGAUCAAUUAUGAGAAAUAUACUAGAUAAAAUAAAUAUCAUUUUGAUCUUGAUUGUUUAAUAAAUAUCAUUUUGAUCUUGAUUGUUUAAAUGUUUGGAGGGUAUUUUGUAUCUUUGUUCACUUCAGGUUAAAAUUGCAAGCACAACAGGAGACACCACUAAAGCAGCGGAAGCAUCUCGGAAAGCCAAACUUUUCAACAUAAUUGGACUUGCCAUUGGAGCCAUUUUUACCAUUUUUAUCAUACUUAUUAUUGCCAUACACCACUGAGAAGAGACUGAUUGAAAAUACCAUGAAUGACAGACCUAGAGACAGAAAUGUGAAGAAGUUUUUCCACUGCCCACAACACAACACACCCAUGAAACAUUGUCUGUAGCAUCUGUGCGCAGGCUAGGGCUACUUCAUCAUGUUUUAUUGUAACAAAAGACAUGUAUUACAUUCUCCUUAUACACUCUGCACCCUGGCAUCCCAUUCCCCUUAUGAUGGUGAUGAUUAUGAUGAUGAAGAGGAGGAAGAUGUUUGGAGUUAAAAGAGUUGUACUUUACAAUUUCCUCAUGUGAGAAUUUCCUAAAGAAAAAUAAACCCCUACACCAAAUUCA